CUACGUGCCAGCAGCCGCGGUAACACGUAAGGGGCGAGCGUUGUUCGGAAUUAUUGGGCGUAAAGGGUAUGUAGGCGGUUAGGUAAGCCUGGUGUGAAAUCUACGAGCUCAACUCGUAAACUGCAUUGGGUACUGCUUGACUUGAAUCACGGAGGGGAAACCGGAAUUCCAAGUGUAGGGGUGGAAUCUGUAGAUAUUUGGAAGAACACCGGUGGCGAAGGCGGGUUUCUGGCCGAUGAUUGACGCUGAUAUACGAAGGUGCGGGGAGCAAACAGGAUUAGAUACCCUGGUAGUCCGCACAGUAAACGAUGUACACUAGGUGUCGGGGCAAGAGCUUCGGUGCCGACGCAAACGCAUUAAGUGUACCGCCUGGGAAGUAUGCCCGCAAGGGUGAAACUCAAAGGAAUUGACGGGGGCCCACACAAGCGGUGGAGCAUGUGGUUUAAUUCGAUGAUACGCGAGAAACCUUACCUGGGUUUGACAUCAAGAGCAAUGACAUAGAGAU
This 505-nucleotide ribosomal RNA is filed under the name uncultured bacterium. RNAcentral describes it as "bacterial SSU rRNA". It matches the Rfam family "Bacterial small subunit ribosomal RNA", at positions 501 to 1007 of the family's 1533-position model. The record is from RNAcentral.